AAAGAAUAUUUGUAACUCAGACUAAGAAGGUAUAUCCUUUUCAUAGUCUACCUUUAAUCAGUAAUUGAAAUAAAAUCUGAUUCUGAAUUUUAAAUGUUUCACUAAUGUCUAAUAGCAAUACUAAACCCUAGGGGGUUAAAAUGAUUUAAAUGGCAGUAGCAUACAUCAACAUAUGCAAAUAAAAAAUAAGAUUUUCACCUCACCUCCAAACAUUAAAUAGGAUCAAUUUAAGGUGUGAACAUAAUUUUGAAACAAUUUGAUUUUCAAGAAGUAAUUUUUAUUACUAGGAAAUGAAUUUCAAGAGAAGUCUUCCCACUUUUUAAAUAUCCGACAAUAGCUACGUGACAUCUUACAGAAUAUGACAGUAAAAGCCAACCAGGACCAAAGAAAAUGUGGUUCAUCAAUUUACAUAUAAUCACAUUUAGAUUUUAAAGUGCUGCAAAGUGUUCCAUUCUAGUUAGGCCUGGCACAUGAUUAAGAAUCAAUAACUGAAAGACUUUGACGAAAGACUUUAGAAGCAGAAAGAUCAAGAUCCAUUUUUCCUUUCCCCAAACUCCAGCCCACAGGGGCCCUGGCUCCCUCAGCUCUUUAGUAGACCACGCUUGGGCGACUACUCAUACUCUAACUCCUGCUGUCUGUAACAUUCGAUGAAUUACAACGACCAAUGAUGUGUUUACUUUAACUCUAAUUUCUCAGAGUAACAAUAUCAAAUAUAUUAAAUGUACUCCUUUAGCACAAACAUUCAGAAAGGGUAUGGGACAGAGAGGCAAAACAGUUCCGUGACGAAUAAUAAGAGGAAAAGUUCAUAAGAAUGCAAGAGGGGAAAUAUUAUUAUGCAUUAAUUAGUUUAUUUAAGAAGUAAGUUAUUCUAACAUGCAUUUAAGAAACACUGAAAAGUAUACUGUAUUUUAUGUUGACCUAAAUCCAAAUCACUUUGAAAAUGGAUUACAGUUAAUAAAAAAUUAAAAUAAAAUUACUUAUCUCCCAGCAAUGAGAAAUCACUUAAUUGCUUAACCAUGUAAUGGUCUCUGGGGUUAUUUUAUUUCAGUCUUACCCUCCUUAGGUUUAUUUUCUUUUCCACCAUAUUCCAGACUUUUUUUUCGCAACAUUGUUAUUAAUAUCAUUGGCCCUUGUUGCAGAAAGCAGAAGUUUUAAUGUAUUUUAAUUUUGAUUAUUUCAUGCUGUGUAUUCUGCUGCUUUGUUGAUAUUUACUUACAUUUUUAAAUCAUCAACAUAUUUUGUAAGCAAUGCUUGGGGAACACAUUUUUCUCAAUUAGUUAACAUGUUAAAAUAAUGUCAUUUUCUUUAAAGAUAGGUGGCAAUGAUCAAAAGGAAGAACCGCAGUUUCUUUAAACCCUUAACUGUAACGGCUAGUGGAGGUUCCAGCCCGCUACGUCUUCCUGUGUGCACAGCUAUUUAUAAACGGAGGAGUCAGAUGGUCUAUGCUUCUCCCCUAGGAGGGGAUUAAUAAAAUGGGUUUACUUCGAUCCCCGAAUUUCUAAGAUGGGAGGCUG
Molecule: long non-coding RNA, 1514 nt
Filed under: Equus asinus (donkey)
Lineage: Eukaryota; Metazoa; Chordata; Mammalia; Perissodactyla; Equidae
Description: lncRNA (ENSEASG00005025396.1)
Source: RNAcentral